Molecule: ribosomal RNA, 111 nt
Filed under: Rikenellaceae bacterium
Lineage: Bacteria; Pseudomonadati; Bacteroidota; Bacteroidia; Bacteroidales; Rikenellaceae
Source: RNAcentral
UUUGGUGACUAUAGCAGUGGGGUUCCACCUCUUCCCAUUCCGAACAGAGAAGUUAAGCCCACCCGCACCGAUGAUACUGCAGUUUUUGUGGGAAAGUAGGGGUCGCCUCUU